CCUACGGGCGGCAGCAGUAGGGAAUAUUGCUCAAUGGGGGAAACCCUGAAGCAGCAACGCCGCGUGGAGGAUGAAGGUUUUAGGAAUGUAAACUCCUUUUGUUAGAGAAGAUUAUGACGGUAUCUAACGAAUAAGCACCGGCUAACACCGUGCCAGAAGCAGCGGUAAUACGGAGUGUGCAAGCGUUACUCGGAAUCACUGGGCGUACAGAGUACGUAGGCGGGGUAAUAGGUCAGUUGUGAAAUCCUGUUGCUUAACUACAGACAUGCAUUUGAAAAGGUUACUCUGGAGUGUGGGAGCGCUAGGUCGAAUUCUUGGUGUAGGGGUACAAUCCUGAGAGAUCAAGAGGAAUACUCAUUGCGAAGGCGACCUGCUGGAACAUUACUGACGCUGAUGCACGAACGCGUGGGGAGCAAACAGGAUUAGAUACCCUAGUAGUC
Molecule: ribosomal RNA, 440 nt
Filed under: uncultured bacterium
Lineage: Bacteria
Description: partial 16S ribosomal RNA
Rfam family: Bacterial small subunit ribosomal RNA
Source: RNAcentral